RNAcentral lists this ribosomal RNA (268 nucleotides) under uncultured Lachnospiraceae bacterium. RNAcentral describes it as "partial 16S ribosomal RNA". It matches the Rfam family "Bacterial small subunit ribosomal RNA", at positions 75 to 339 of the family's 1533-position model. Lineage: Bacteria; Bacillati; Bacillota; Clostridia; Lachnospirales; Lachnospiraceae. The record is from RNAcentral.
AGUGCUUGCACUUUGGCAGACUGAGCGGCGGACGGGUGAGUAACGCGUGGGUGACCUGCCCCAUACCGGGGGAUAACAGCUGGAAACGGCUGGUAAUACCGCAUAAGCGCACAAUGUUGCAUGACAUGGUGUGAAAAACUCCGGUGGUAUAAGAUGGACCCGCGUCUGAUUAGCUAGUUGGUGAGGUAACGGCCCACCAAGGCGACGAUCAGUAGCCGGACUGAGAGGUUGACCGGCCACAUUGGGACUGAGAUACGGCCCAGACUCC